Molecule: ribosomal RNA, 553 nt
Filed under: Bactrocera oleae (olive fruit fly)
Lineage: Eukaryota; Metazoa; Arthropoda; Insecta; Diptera; Tephritidae
Description: partial large subunit ribosomal RNA
Rfam family: Bacterial large subunit ribosomal RNA (bases 305-464)
Source: RNAcentral
UAAUCAUUAGUCUUUUAAUUGAAGGCUGGUAUGAACGGUUGGACGAGGUAUAAGCUGUUUCAUAUAAAUUUAUAAUAGAAUUUUAUAUUUUAGUCAAAAAGCUAAAAUAUAUUUAAAAGACGAGAAGACCCUAUAAAUCUUUAUAUUUUGUGUUGUUUAAAUUUUUUGGAAUCGGUUUAUUUUUAUAAUAUAAAAUAUUUUGUUGGGGUGAUAUUAAAAUUUAAUUAACUUUUAAUUAUUUAAAAUCAUUAAUUUAUGAGUUAUUGAUCCAUUAAUAGUGAUUAUAAGAUUAAGUUACUUUAGGGAUAACAGCGUAAUUUUUUUGGAGAGUUCAUAUCGAUAAAAAAGUUUGCGACCUCGAUGUUGGAUUAAGAUAUAAUUUUAGGUGUAGUCGCUUAAAUGUUAAGUCUGUUCGACUUUUAAAUUCUUACAUGAUCUGAGUUCAGACCGGCGUAAGCCAGGUUGGUUUCUAUCUUUAAAUUUUUAUAGUGCCUUAGUACGAAAGGACCAGGCAUUAAAAUAAUAAUAUUUUAUUUAUAGAAUGUGAUUAAUU